AUGGAAAUGAAUACCCCAAGGUUUCCUCUGGUCACUUUCCACACAUCCUCAUUUGGCCCCUGCUCAUGAGCAAGUUGAUUUAGGAGAUGGUGCCUGGCAGUUCCUCCUCUGAUUAUCCAGGGAAGACAGAAAAAGAGGAAAACAGGAGACAAGAAGUAAAGCUUAGAACAGAGAGGAAAUACAGAGCAAGGUCAACUGAGAUAUUCCGGAGAAGGG
This 216-nucleotide long non-coding RNA is filed under the name Homo sapiens (human). RNAcentral describes it as "HSALNT0147123". Lineage: Eukaryota; Metazoa; Chordata; Mammalia; Primates; Hominidae. The record is from RNAcentral.